RNAcentral lists this ribosomal RNA (294 nucleotides) under uncultured bacterium. Its description in RNAcentral is "partial 16S ribosomal RNA". It matches the Rfam family "Bacterial small subunit ribosomal RNA", at positions 332 to 644 of the family's 1533-position model. The record is from RNAcentral.
CGUACCUACGGGGCGCAGCAGUGGGGGAUAUUGCACAAUGGGGGGAACCCUGAUGCAGCGACGCCGCGUGGGUGAAGAAGUAUUUCGGUAUGUAAAGCCCUAUCGGCAGGGAAGAAAUUGGACGGUACCUGACUAAGAAGCCCCGGCUAACUACGUGCCAGCAGCCGCGGGAAUACGUAGGGGGCAAGCGUUAUCCGGAUUCAAUGGGGGUAAAGGGAGCGUAGACGGCCAUGCAAGCCUGGAGUGAAAGCCCGGGGCCCAACCCCGGGACUGCUCUGGGAACUGUGCGCCUGG